UUUGAUGGCGACCGGCGCACGGGUGAGUAACACGUAUCCAACCUGCCGAUGACUCGGGGAUAGCCUUUCGAAAGAAAGAUUAAUACCCGAUGGCAUAGUUCUUCCGCAUGGUAGAACUAUUAAAGAAUUUCGGUCAUCGAUGGGGAUGCGUUCCAUUAGGUUGUUGGCGGGGUAACGGCCCACCAAGCCUUCGAUGGAUAGGGGUUCUGAGAGGAAGGUCCCCCACAUUGGAACUGAGACGCGGUCCAA
This 249-nucleotide ribosomal RNA is filed under the name uncultured bacterium. RNAcentral describes it as "partial 16S ribosomal RNA". It matches the Rfam family "Bacterial small subunit ribosomal RNA", at positions 84 to 334 of the family's 1533-position model. The record is from RNAcentral.